Molecule: ribosomal RNA, 254 nt
Filed under: uncultured bacterium
Lineage: Bacteria
Description: partial 16S ribosomal RNA
Rfam family: Bacterial small subunit ribosomal RNA
Source: RNAcentral
UACGUAUGGUGCAAGCGUUGUUCGGAAUCACUGGGCAUAAAGAGCACGUAGGCGGCUCUUCAAGUCAGGUGUGAAAGCCCUCGGCUCAACCGAGGAACUGCGCCUGAUACUGCUGAGCUCAGAGUGCGGGAGGGGAGAACGGAAUUCCAGGUGGAGCGGUGAAAUGCGUAGAUAUCUGGAGGAACGCCGGAGGCGAAAGCGGUUCUCUGGCCCGCCACUGACGCUGAGGUGCGAAAGCUAGGGGAGCAAACAGG